RNAcentral lists this ribosomal RNA (497 nucleotides) under uncultured bacterium. RNAcentral describes it as "partial 16S ribosomal RNA". It matches the Rfam family "Bacterial small subunit ribosomal RNA", at positions 28 to 507 of the family's 1533-position model. The record is from RNAcentral.
GAUGAACGCUGGCGGCGUGCCUAAUACAUGCAAGUCGAGCGAACAGACGAGGAGCUUGCUCCUCUGACGUUAGCGGCGGACGGGUGAGUAACACGUGGAUAACCUACCUAUAAGACUGGGAUAACUUCGGGAAACCGGAGCUAAUACCGGAUAAUAUAUUGAACCGCAUGGUUCAAUAGUGAAAGACGGUUUUGCUGUCACUUAUAGAUGGAUCCGCGCCGCAUUAGCUAGUUGGUAAGGUAACGGCUUACCAAGGCAACGAUGCGUAGCCGACCUGAGAGGGUGAGCGGCCACACUGGAACUGAGACACGGUCCAGACUCCUACGGGAGGCAGCAGUAGGGAAUCUUCCGCAAUGGGCGAAAGCCUGACGGAGCAACGCCGCGUGAGGGAUGAAGGUCUUCGGAUCGUAAAACUCUGUUAUUAGGGAAGAACAAAUGUGUAAGUAACUAUGCACGUCUUGACGGUACCUAAUCAGAAAGCCACGGCUAACUACGUG